This 254-nucleotide ribosomal RNA is filed under the name uncultured bacterium. Its description in RNAcentral is "partial 16S ribosomal RNA". It matches the Rfam family "Bacterial small subunit ribosomal RNA", at positions 524 to 776 of the family's 1533-position model. The record is from RNAcentral.
UACGGGGGGGGGCAAGCGUUGUUCGGACUUACUGGGCGUAAAGGGCUCGUAGGUGGCCAACUAAGUCGGACGUGAAAUCCCUCAGCUUAACUGGGGAACUGCGUCCGAUACUGGAUGGCUUGAGUUUGGGAGAGGGAUGCGGAAUUCCAGGUGUAGCGGUGAAAUGCGUAGAUAUCUGGAGGAACACCGGUGGCGAAGGCGGCAUCCUGGACCAACACUGACACUGAGGAGCGAAAGCCAGGGGAGCAAACGGG